GCGGGGUUAGCUCAGUUGGUUAGAGCAUGGUGCUAAUAACGCCAAGGUCACAGGUUCAAUCCCUGCUUACUGCA
RNAcentral lists this transfer RNA (74 nucleotides) under Pelecanus crispus (Dalmatian pelican). It matches the Rfam family "tRNA". Rfam says of the family: Transfer RNA (tRNA) molecules are approximately 80 nucleotides in length. Their secondary structure includes four short double-helical elements and three loops (D, anti-codon, and T loops). The record is from Rfam by way of RNAcentral. Lineage: Eukaryota; Metazoa; Chordata; Aves; Pelecaniformes; Pelecanidae.